CACCGCGGUUAUACGAGUAACCCCUGUUGAUAACAAACGGCGUAAAGGGUGGUUAGGAGUGUCAUUAAAGUAAAGCCGAACUUUUCCCGGACCGUUAAAAGUAUCCGGAAUUUGAAGCCCAUUUACGAAGGUAGCUUUAUAACUCUGACUCCACGAAGGCUAACGAAA
RNAcentral lists this ribosomal RNA (168 nucleotides) under Symphurus orientalis (pygmy tongue-sole). RNAcentral describes it as "partial 12S rRNA". Lineage: Eukaryota; Metazoa; Chordata; Actinopteri; Pleuronectiformes; Cynoglossidae. The record is from RNAcentral.